UACAGGGGGUGCAAACGUUGCUCGGAAUCAUUGGGCGUAAAGCGCACGUAGGCGGUUCGUUAUGUCGGAUGUGAAAGCCCUUGGCUUAACCGAGGAAGUGCAUCCGAAACUGGCGAGCUAGAGUACGAAAGAGGAUCGCGGAAUUCCCGGUGUAGAGGUGAAAUUCGUAGAUAUCGGGAGGAACACCGGUGGCGAAGGCGGCUCUCUGGGACGGUACUGACGCUGAGACGCGAAAGCGUGGGGAGCGAACAGG
RNAcentral lists this ribosomal RNA (253 nucleotides) under uncultured bacterium. RNAcentral's name for it is "partial 16S ribosomal RNA". It matches the Rfam family "Bacterial small subunit ribosomal RNA", at positions 524 to 776 of the family's 1533-position model. The record is from RNAcentral.